ACUGGGCACGGUGGCAUGUACCUGUAGUCCCAGCUACUCGGGAGGCUGAGGCAGGAGGAGUGCUUGAGUCCAGGAGUCCUGGGCUGCAGCACAUGAUGCCAAUUGUGUGUCUGCCCUAAGUUCGGCAUCAAUAUGGCAACCUCCCAGGAGCAGGGAGCCACCAGGUUGCCUAAGCAGGGGUGAACCAGCCCGUCAGAAACAGAGCAGGUAAAAACUCCAGUGUUGCUCAGUAGUAGUGGGAUCGCACCUGUGAAUAGCCACUGCACUACAGCCUGGGCAACAUAGUGAGACCUGUCUCUU
Unclassified non-coding RNA from Papio anubis (olive baboon), 300 nucleotides. It matches the Rfam family "Metazoan signal recognition particle RNA". From Rfam's summary of the family: The signal recognition particle (SRP) is a universally conserved ribonucleoprotein. It is involved in the co-translational targeting of proteins to membranes. Lineage: Eukaryota; Metazoa; Chordata; Mammalia; Primates; Cercopithecidae. The record is from Ensembl.